RNAcentral lists this ribosomal RNA (478 nucleotides) under uncultured bacterium. RNAcentral describes it as "partial 16S ribosomal RNA". It matches the Rfam family "Bacterial small subunit ribosomal RNA", at positions 28 to 523 of the family's 1533-position model. The record is from RNAcentral.
GACGAACGCUGGCGGCGUGCUUAACACAUGCAAGUCGAACGGUAAGGCCCUUCGGGGUACACGAGUGGCGAGCGGGUGAGUAACACGUGGGUGAUCUGCCCUGCACUUCGGGAUAAGCCUGGGAAACUGGGUCUAAUACCGGAUAGGACUCCUGGCUUCAUGGUUGGGGGUGGAAAGCUUUUGCGGUGUGGGAUGGGCCCGCGGCCUAUCAGCUUGUUGGUGGGGUAAUGGCCUACCAAGGCGACGACGGGUAGCCGGCCUGAGAGGGGGACCGGUCACAGUGGGACUGAGAUACGGCCCAGCAUCCUACGGGAGGCAGCAGUGGGGAAUAUUGCACAAUGGGCGCAAGCCUGAUGCAGCGACGCCGCGUGAGGGAUGACGGCCUUCGGGUUGUAAACCUCUUUCAGCUAUGACGAAGCGCAAGUGACGGUAGUAGCAGAAGAAGGACCGGCCAACUACGUGCCAGCAGCCGCAGUAA